CGCAGGCUGACAGCUCUUGCCUGUGACAGCUCCAGCUGACACAUAUACAGUGCCAGCCUUCCCAGGCCCUGGGAGAAGCGGGGUGAGCUGGGAUGAGGUGAAGGAAAACCCCGAAGUAAAACAGAGACGAUGGGAGAAUUGGAGGCCGGGGUGAACACCUGAAACUAUGGCAGGCUAACUUGCCAGCUCGCAGAGCACAGUAUCAGACUCUUCAGAGCUCUUGACACCAUGCCAGCACUGAACAGCAAUCACAGCGCAGAGCUCUACAGAAAUGAGGCCGACUUCCUAACUUUCUUCCUCGUGUUGUCAGACCGAGAGUGAUAACUUUGUUACGUGCUCUUGUGGACUCAGCAAGAUUGUACAAAGAACAUUUUGACCAAAAAAAUGAAAAUGAGUAGGAUCCAGGCACUACUUGUUCCUUUCGUAUUACCAUGCAGGGGAAGAAACCGUGUAUUUUCUUUGCCAGUUGCCGUCAGGUUUAUUGGGCUCCGGGUGUGAUUACCCAUGGGAGAGUGUGCCUCUUAAGGACCUUUCCUCAGUGGCCACACAGUGGGUACAACAAAGAACCUGAUUACAGUAAAGAUUGUAUGCAGCACAACUCAGGGUGGCCUAAUUAAAUCUCGUAUCAUGGCUGACAGCUGUGAAUUUGUUUAAAGAAUUUGUUGUGAAAGCUCCUCUGAUGUUUACUAUUGUUACUCAGACUUCAUGCAGUGAGAUUAUAGUUCAGGAGGUCCC
This is a long non-coding RNA of Bos taurus (domestic cattle), 735 nucleotides long. Lineage: Eukaryota; Metazoa; Chordata; Mammalia; Artiodactyla; Bovidae. The record is from Ensembl.